RNAcentral lists this ribosomal RNA (442 nucleotides) under uncultured bacterium. RNAcentral's name for it is "bacterial SSU rRNA". It matches the Rfam family "Bacterial small subunit ribosomal RNA", at positions 98 to 518 of the family's 1533-position model. The record is from RNAcentral.
CGGCACGGGUGAGUAACGCGUGGAUGAUCUACCCAAUGAGUUGGGAAUAACGGUUGGAACGAUCGCUAAUACCCGGUACCGUUCCGAUUUUCAACUUACGGGAGAAAGGGGGCCGUCUGCUUGCAAGCUUCUGCUCAUGGAUGAGUCCGCGUCCCAUUAGCUAGUUGGUGAGGUAACGGCUCACCAAGGCAUCGAUGGGUAGCCGGUCUGAGAGGAUGACCGGCCACACUGGGACUGGAACACGGCCCAGACUCCUACGGGAGGCAGCAGUGGGGAAUAUUGCGCAAUGGGCGAAAGCCUGACGCAGCGACGCCGCGUGAGGGAUGAAAGGUCUUCGGAUCGUAAACCUCUGUCAAGAGGGAAGAAACGUCAGGGCGCUAAUCAGCCCUGAUCUGACGGUACCUCUAAAGGAAGCACCGGCUAACUCCGUGCCAGCCGCUGC